Molecule: ribosomal RNA, 551 nt
Filed under: Microbotryum lychnidis-dioicae
Lineage: Eukaryota; Fungi; Basidiomycota; Microbotryomycetes; Microbotryales; Microbotryaceae
Description: LSU rRNA
Rfam family: Eukaryotic large subunit ribosomal RNA
Source: RNAcentral
UUACCCGCUGAACUUAAGCAUAUCAAUAAGCGGAGGAAAAGAAACUAACAAGGAUUCCCCUAGUAACGGCGAGUGAAGCGGGAAAAGCUCAAAUUUGUAAUCUGGCGCCUUUGGCGUCCGAGUUGUAAUCUCGAGAAGUAUUUUCCGCGCUGGACCGCACAUAAGUCUGUUGGAAUACAGCGUCAUAGUGGUGAGAACCCCGUAUAGGGUGCGGAUGCCCAGUGCUUUGUGAUAUACUUUCGAAGAGUCGAGUUGUUUGGGAAUGCAGCUCAAAUUGGGUGGUAAAUUCCAUCUAAAGCUAAAUAUUGGCGAGAGACCGAUAGCGAACAAGUACCGUGAGGGAAAGAUGAAAAGCACUUUGGAAAGAGAGUUAACAGUACGUGAAAUUGUUGGAAGGGAAACGCUUGAAGUCAGACUUGCAUUUUGGAGUUCAGCCGCAAGGUGUAUUCUUCAAUUCGCAGGCCAGCAUCAGUUUUGGGGGGUGGAAAAUCGUGGUUUGAAGGUAGCAGUCUCGGCUGUGUUAUAGCUUUCCACUGGAUUCACUUUUCGGG